RNAcentral lists this ribosomal RNA (689 nucleotides) under Pseudomonas sp. LB10-CHR-2-3-W. RNAcentral describes it as "bacterial SSU rRNA". It matches the Rfam family "Bacterial small subunit ribosomal RNA", at positions 60 to 744 of the family's 1533-position model. The record is from RNAcentral. Lineage: Bacteria; Pseudomonadati; Pseudomonadota; Gammaproteobacteria; Pseudomonadales; Pseudomonadaceae.
AGUCGAGCGGUUGACGGGAGCUUGCUCCCUGAUUCAGCGGCGGACGGGUGAGUAAUGCCUAGGAAUCUGCCUAUUAGUGGGGGACAACGUUUCGAAAGGAACGCUAAUACCGCAUACGUCCUACGGGAGAAAGCAGGGGACCUUCGGGCCUUGCGCUAAUAGAUGAGCCUAGGUCGGAUUAGCUAGUUGGUGAGGUAAUGGCUCACCAAGGCGACGAUCCGUAACUGGUCUGAGAGGAUGAUCAGUCACACUGGAACUGAGACACGGUCCAGACUCCUACGGGAGGCAGCAGUGGGGAAUAUUGGACAAUGGGCGAAAGCCUGAUCCAGCCAUGCCGCGUGUGUGAAGAAGGUCUUCGGAUUGUAAAGCACUUUAAGUUGGGAGGAAGGGUUGUAGAUUAAUACUCUGCAAUUUUGACGUUACCGACAGAAUAAGCACCGGCUAACUCUGUGCCAGCAGCCGCGGUAAUACAGAGGGUGCAAGCGUUAAUCGGAAUUACUGGGCGUAAAGCGCGCGUAGGUGGUUUGUUAAGUUGGAUGUGAAAGCCCCGGGCUCAACCUGGGAACUGCAUCCAAAACUGGCAAGCUAGAGUACGGUAGAGGGUGGUGGAAUUUCCUGUGUAGCGGUGAAAUGCGUAGAUAUAGGAAGGAACACCAGUGGCGAAGGCGACCACCUGGACUGAUACUGAC